AUGUUAAACCAGCUACCUGAAACAGGCCUCUGGGCCAUGGAAAGAGACGACUGGUUUGGACAUCGAGGGCUUUCCACGGAAAAAGUACGGCACCGACUGUGGCAUCUUCAUGUUGAUGCAUGUCCUUUACAAAGUGAUGGAUGCACCCUUUGACUUCACUGUUAUUGAUAUGCCGGCAUUGAGAAAAUGGUGGUGUAUCAUGCUGAUCGAAAAUCUUGAC
This 220-nucleotide long non-coding RNA is filed under the name Gadus morhua (Atlantic cod). RNAcentral's name for it is "lncRNA (ENSGMOG00000033149.1)". The record is from RNAcentral. Lineage: Eukaryota; Metazoa; Chordata; Actinopteri; Gadiformes; Gadidae.